Molecule: long non-coding RNA, 528 nt
Organism: Mustela erminea (ermine)
Lineage: Eukaryota; Metazoa; Chordata; Mammalia; Carnivora; Mustelidae
Exons: 3
Source: RefSeq, a predicted model, not a curated record
UUCCUCUGGUGCAUAAUUCCCUGGAGGCCAGCAGAGGACAGCUGGAUGGAAGAUGGGGAGAACAUCGCAGGACCACAGCAGGGACAUGGCAAGAGCUCGCCUGCUUUUCCAGAGGCAGUUUUCAAACAUUUGAAAGAUGUUAGCCGAUGAGAAAACUAAGGAUUAAGUAGUUUGGCCAAGAUCACAUGAAGUUGUAAGCAGUGGCACUGGAAUCCACAACGGGACAUCUGGUCUCCAGGACUUCUGCUCUAACCCCCUCCACUAGCGUGCCUCCUGCGUCUCAGUUUAUCUACAAUUCCCCUCUUGAUGGACAGUCGGUCUGUGUGCAGUUUGUGGCUAUUAUAAACAAUGCUGUAGUGAACACCUUUCUCACUCAUCUUUGAGUGCUAACUCCCCACUUUUUAAAAAAGACGUAUUUAUUUUAGAGAGAGAGAGAGUACAAGAGGGGGAAGGGGCAGCGGAAGACAAUCUUCAAGGAGACUCCCUGCUGAAUGUGAAGCCCAGCGCGGGACUCAAUCUGACAACCCU